Molecule: ribosomal RNA, 207 nt
Filed under: uncultured bacterium
Lineage: Bacteria
Description: partial 16S ribosomal RNA
Rfam family: Bacterial small subunit ribosomal RNA
Source: RNAcentral
CGCGUAGGCGGCCAUUUAAGUCGGGUGUGAAAUCCCGGGGCUUAACCCCGGAACUGCAUCCGAUACUGGGUGGCUUGAGUAUGGGAGAGGGAAGUGGAAUUCCAGGUGUAGAGGUGAAAUUCGUAGAUAUCUGGAGGAACACCAGUGGCGAAGGCGACUUCCUGGACCAAUACUGACGCUGAGGCGCGAAGGCGUGGGGAGCAAACA